CUUGGUCAUUUAGAGGAUGUAAAAGUCGUAACAAGGUCUCCGUUGGUGAACCAGCGGAGGGAUCAUUAUAGAGUUUUCUAAACUCCCGACCCAUGUGAACUUACCAUUGUUGCCUCGGCAGAAGCUGCUCGGCGCCUCUUACCUUGGAACGGCCUACCCUGUAGCGCCUUACCCUGGAACGGCUUACCCUGCAACGGCUGCCGGUGGACUACCAAACUCUUGUUAUUUUAUGGUUAUCUGAGCGUCUUAUUUUAAUAAGUCAAAACUUUCAACAACGGAUCUCUUGGUUCUGGUAUCGAUGAAGAACGCAGCGAAAUGCGAUAAGUAAUGUGAAUUGCAGAAUUCAGUGAAUCAUCGAAUCUUUGAACGCACAUUGCGCCCAUUAGUAUUCUAGUGGGCAUGCCUGUUCGAGCGUCAUUUCAACCCUUAAGCCUAGCUUAGUGUUGGGAGCCUACUGCUUUUGCUAGCUGUAGCUCCUGAAAUACAACGGCGGAUCUGCGAUAUCCUCUGAGCGUAGUAAUUUUUAUCUCGCUUUUGACUGGAGUUGCAGCGUCUUUAGCCGCUAAACCCCCCAAUUUUUAAUGGUUGACCUCGGAUCAGGUAGGAAUACCCGCUGAACUUAAGCAUAUCAAUAAGCGGAGGA
This 643-nucleotide ribosomal RNA is filed under the name Pestalotiopsis sp. F20. Its description in RNAcentral is "eukaryotic LSU rRNA". The stretch from base 264 to 417 matches the Rfam family "5.8S ribosomal RNA". Lineage: Eukaryota; Fungi; Ascomycota; Sordariomycetes; Amphisphaeriales; Sporocadaceae. The record is from RNAcentral.